RNAcentral lists this long non-coding RNA (769 nucleotides) under Prunus dulcis (almond). RNAcentral's name for it is "sRNA ncRNA". The record is from RNAcentral. Lineage: Eukaryota; Viridiplantae; Streptophyta; Magnoliopsida; Rosales; Rosaceae.
AAAACUAAUUUAAAAAGUUAAAAAAAAAAACUAAUUGAAUUAGUUAAACCCAAUUUCCACUAAACUUACCACCACUAUCUUUUAGCUACUACUACCAGUCAUUAUUAAUUUUUCUGAAUCAACUACUUCUCUCAAUCAAUCUGCCUGCGCUUUUACCACAUGCGCAAAGAAGCUCUUCGACUUUGAAAGAGCGGGUUGGCAACCCAACCCUUCUUUUUUCAACGAGUUAAAGUCCGUCGCUAAAGUUGCUUCAUCGCCGAUAUCAAUUCCUCAGCAGACUUCGUCGGAGGGCUCGACAACCGAAACUCAUCACGGAAACUGGCGUGUCGUUUCAUCGCCUCCUCGUCACUGAGGCCCUAUGCGACCUCGAGUUCUCGUCCUUGAUCGCCUCCGCACAAAGUCCGCAAAUCCAACUGCCCUGAUGUCGCUCCUUCACUGUAGCUAUGUACUCCAGCGUGCAUUCCUCAGCAGUAGCACUUCACCAACUCCUCUUCCACUACCAACUGAGCUGCGCUUGGACUCCCUGGCUGCGACACCUCCAUAGCCGAAAAUUAUAGAGAGAGGAAAAAAAACUUUGGGGGAAAUGAAGAGUUCGGAAUUAAAUUUGUACCGUUUAAUUUGUCUUAAACGCUAAUUAACAACUGUGAAAUUUGAAAUUUGAAUAAGUUUUGAUGUGAUUGACGUUACAGAGACUCUGUAUCGAUGGCACGAUUAUCUCACUUAUCUGAUUUCUUUCUCUCUGUUUUCUUUUUUGGUAAUGGAAUUUUCG